This 30-nucleotide unclassified non-coding RNA is filed under the name Mus musculus (house mouse). Its description in RNAcentral is "oocyte_clustered_small_RNA501". Lineage: Eukaryota; Metazoa; Chordata; Mammalia; Rodentia; Muridae. The record is from RNAcentral.
AUCUGUCUCAAUCACCUGUGUGCCCAUCUG